GAAAUGCGAUAAGUAGUGUGAAUUGCAGAAUUCAGUGAAUCAUCGAAUCUUUGAACGCACAUUGCGCCCUUUGGUAAUCCUUAGGGCAUGCCUGUUCGAGCGUCAUUUAAACCUUCAAGCUCAGCUUGGUGAUGGGCGACUGUCCCCCCCCCUCGCGGGGGGGACUCGCCUCAAAAACAUUGGCGGCCGGUACAUUGGCUUCGAGCGCAGCAGAAACGCGGUCUCGAGCCCGGUGGAUCGGCUCCCAUAAGCCUAUUCUUUUAUUUUGACCUCGGAUCAGGUAGGGAUACCCGCUGAACUUAAGC
RNAcentral lists this unclassified non-coding RNA (305 nucleotides) under plant metagenome. RNAcentral's name for it is "partial contains 5.8S ribosomal RNA, internal transcribed spacer 2, and large subunit ribosomal RNA". The stretch from base 1 to 105 matches the Rfam family "5.8S ribosomal RNA", at positions 50 to 154 of the family's 154-position model. The record is from RNAcentral.